Zootermopsis nevadensis is the source of this 2221-nucleotide non-coding RNA. The record is from RefSeq and is a predicted model, not a curated record. Lineage: Eukaryota; Metazoa; Arthropoda; Insecta; Blattodea; Termopsidae.
CCAAAACCUUGCAAAAUGUAAAGAACAUCUUGUCUGAUGUAUGUGACCUGCACAGUAAAACAAUUAGGAGAGCGCCUUCUGACUUCUCCUUAUUGAAAACGUUUGCUCCAUGAAUUAUAUAAAUUACACAAUCUUAUUAUUACUCCUAUUCAAAUGAGAGAAAGGAAAGUGUGUAUCUCUUAAAGCCUCCCCUGUUCUAAUGGAAACUUCACCAGGGCUAGGAACAUUGGCUUCUUGUCCAGUAUAAGUAAAAUGGCUAGAGCAUGAAGAUAAUAACUUACUCAGAAUAAUGUUAAUGUUCCAAAUGUGUGGAGUAAAAUUUCUCAACCUUUUCAAAUGUAGGCCACAUUCACCCUUUCUUAUCCAUAUAUGGGCCACCAUGUUUAAUAAAAAGAUAAUGUAUUGAAACUCAUGGCAAUCUAUAUAAGAUGUUACCAACUUACUACUGCAAACAGUUUCACAUGUUGUGUAUGAUCUGAAGCUUUCACGGCGACUAAAUACAAUGAAUUCUUUCCAGGUUACCAGCCGUGUAAGGUGGUUUAAUGAAGAAAACACUGACGCUUCGAGAACCAUCUAGUCCCUAUCUCCGGAGAUAGUGACUAGCUCUAUCGAUUGGACCAGCCCAACAGAUGAACGGGACAAGAUAUAUUGUCAAGAAACAACAGCCAAAUCUUCUUGUAAUAAUAUAAAUCACAUUAUAUAAAUAAGAUGAUUAGAUCAAGGAUCACAAGGUAGGUGGGACAUGUAGCAUUCAUACGUGAGAUGAGAAACAAGAACAUAAAUUUGGUUGGGAAAUCCCAAUGGAAGAGACCACUUUAAAAACGUAAGAAGUAAUGGUAGGACAAUGUUAAAAUGUAGAUUUGAGAAACAGGGUUUCUAAGAAAUAAUUGCCUUCUUAUUUUCAGCUGUACCUUGUAACUUUCAAAUAAACAUUGAGUACAGGGCUGAAAAGUUUUUCAACAACUUCAUCUGAAAGGGCACAACUCAACUACUGAUUUCACACUGCAGAAGACGGUGCUGUAAAUGGAAUGGGAAUGCAACAACUAGUUAAAAAGGAGAACAAGCCCAAAAUUACCCCAGUUGUCCCAUCUGGAGAAAAAGCACAUGAAACACUAAGCAAUGAGUGUGUAAUAUUGUGAGGCCCCUGGUGUUGGACUGCACAUUUCUAUGUGCUAGAAACUGUGCCAAGCAAACCUGACCCUCAAAUGGCAAAUUGUAUUAUGGGGGAGAAAAAUUGGUUGAACCUAUGUUUGUGUGAGUGUAUAACAGGAACAAAGAAUUCUACAGUUGUUUGUCUGAGGGAAAAGAAAUGUUUACACAAUGUGUUCACAUUUUAAAUUAAAUACAUUAAUAAUAUCACAAUAUCUUUCAAAAUAUGAAUCAAAUGUUGGCAGAAAUUGUAAAUACACAUGAUAUUCCUUUCAAUUAGAAGAAAUCUUGCAGAGUGACAGCUUGAGGAACAGUUCCGAGUGGUAAAGUAAAGUCUUUCGAACAAUGUGUAAUUUACUUAAUUGUUAUAUACGAGUGUUUAAGAAAAGAUGCAAUGUUUUAUCAAAAAAAACAUGCACAGUGUAGUGUAACUGUGGGAUUUAAAUCAGGUCAGCAGGGGCUAUGGAAAUUUAAAAGCCUGGUACUUUAAAGGUUAAAUUUGAUAUUGGUAAGUUCUGUAACAUUUUUGAACACAUUCCAACUUUAUUUGAAAUGCACAACAAUAAUGGGUGCUUUACACGAAGACCACAUGUGUUUCUGCACACUGAAGUAGCUGGGUUGGGAAUCUCCAGGCUGUCUUGGUUAUAGUUCAAAGAUCAAAUUAUAAAGAAGUAGUCUUAACUGGUACUGUUUCUAAACUUCAUCUUAAUAGAAAAUAAGCGUUUAAUUUUUUCAAAGUUAGAAAUGAAAUACAAGUGGACCUCAUCUGUAAUAAUACCAAUGGAAAAGAGUAUUCAUAGCCAUCUCUUAAGUACUGAAGCUUACAUUUUAUGAACUUUCAGCAACAGAAUGUAAAAAUAAAAUGAAAAGUUUUGACAUAAUCCCUCAGCAGUGAAAGGGUCCCAAUAGUAAGAAAGGCAAUGUUUAAUUUCACAUGUGAAAGCUGCAAUUUCUUAUAACAGAUUCCAAUCACUGAAAAUUCUUUACAUAAAGUGUAUAAAAUAAUUGGGAUGUCUGCCUGCACACAUUUCACUGUUCUAGGAAUGUAAUAAAACUUACUACUUCAGAUUCA